Non-coding RNA from Nicotiana tabacum (common tobacco), 5658 nucleotides. The record is from RefSeq and is a predicted model, not a curated record. NCBI's taxonomy places the organism in Eukaryota, Viridiplantae, Streptophyta, Magnoliopsida, Solanales, Solanaceae.
CUAAUAUUGAACCGUGAAAUGGCAGGCCUCCCAUUUCUGCUGAGCUUUUCAUAACAAAUGAAGCUGGUAAAAGGAUAGAUAAUAUAUCUGUCUUGUCAGGCUUUCAGCUCCCUCUAACUCUGUGCAUUCAACUAAGAAAUAUAUCGCCAGAUCAGCUGUCUCGCGUGUCGAAGUUGUACUGCAUCCUUCACUCACGAACAUCCUUUCAAAUAUUUAGUGAAAGCGAGGAUAAGAAAGUACCAGAGUCCAGUUGUCAGGCUUGGAAAAGCAAUCACAUGGUAGACCUUAAUGACAAGCUAUUGCACUUUACAACAGGGUCUCCCAAGAGGGGUGGAUUACAUGCUAUGGGAAGUGCUGAAGGGACUUCAGUUGUGGAUAAAUUUGUGUGUUUUGAUCCUAAUGAGAAAGGGCAAGGAUUUUCAACCUGCUUGCUAGAUGUUUCUGUGUUUCCUGUGGGUUCUUACCAAAUCAAAUGGCACAGCUGUUGUAUAGACAAUAAUGGUGCUUACUGGAGCCUUAUGCCCCUGAACAAAGAUCAGUUCUUCACUGUACAUGAAUCUUCUAAUAUUGGUCCUUUAGUUGGAGUACCAUAGACUGCAGGUAUUUAGUUAAAGCCGGAAUAAGUUAUUUCUAUAUAUUAGAAGAGCUAGGUUUCGACGUGUGUGCUUCGUGGAAUUUAAUUCAAACCUGAGGGCAAUUUACAUUUCAAUUACUUAGUUGAUAUUGCUUCCUGCGGUGGCUUUUGUUUUUGCAGCCAACACAUCUUCAUUUCUUACUUAGCCGUAUCUUAUUCCUUCGUUUGUUUCCCUUCUCUUUAGUUUCUCAAAGAUAUACUCCAAUUCAUUUUGUUCUUGAUGCUCUUUAAAUCUGAUAUGAAACUUGGGGUUAGAUAGUAAGGCAUGAGGGAGAAGAGUGCAAGUCAGGAAGGAGAGACUAUUUAUAGCUCUUCACCGGAAGCAAAGGUGAACUUUCUCUCUUUCCUUUCUUUCCGUCUCAAGUGUUUGCUUUCCUCUAUAUUUAGUCAGGACUAUGCAGCAGGCUUAUUUGGGUUUCUGAUUGUGGAAUGCAUGUAUCUCUGUUGAUUAUGGUUGGAAUCUUUUGGUUGACUGUGUUAGCUAAUUUCAUCUAAAACAACAGGUGUCACACACCUUGUGCUGAAUAUACAAUGUUUCUCCUUGGAUAUACCAUUGAUAUACAGUCUUACAAAAAUCACAUGCCUAUAAUAUAUCUGAGAAGAUUUACUACGAACAAGGUUCAAUCUUCCACUUUUGAAUAAUCAAAAAGCAAGGUUGCAACAAGGUAAGUCAAUCUAGAAAAGAUACUUCGAUUGAAUGUUAUUUAUUGGUUUGGUCGCCACUCGCCAGUGAAAGGCCUUUUGCUACUAUUUUGGGUUGCUACUGGAUCCACUUUUUGCUGAUGUUUCUGGAUGCAAUUGAAGCCACUUAUGCUGCUGCUUCUUGGAUGUUACUACAAACACCUUUAAAGUUGUUCUGGAUGCGGGUGGAACUACUUUUGUUGCUCUUUUUCUAGAUGCUGUACAGUCAUUUUUUGUUGUUGUACUAUUAGGUUAGUCCAGCUGGUUACACAUCAAACUCUUCAGUACUUUUAACUUCUAAGAUCCAGGUCCAUUCAUUUUUGUUUCCUUCUGUAUAUGCUCUGUGUUCUCUGGCUUUAGUUUCGAGCAGUCUUACUGAAGAUAUUUAGUAUCAUAAUCAAACCAUAAUAUCCCUUGAAAACAACUAUUCAACUAGGGGUUGAAAGGGGUAUGCUAGCAGCUCUUUUGUGGGUCUGCCAUUUUCCCGUCGCUAUAUCUCUGUACAAUAACAGCGUAAUCAAUCAGCUUGUAAAGAGCUAUUGGAUUUGCAUUGAAAAGCUCUUCUUGACUGUUUUUUUAUGGUAGCAUCAAGGUAUUCUCUCUAUAUGAAGUGCGAGUACUUGACAAAAGGUUCUUUUUCAUCCACAAAAAUGCUAACUUAAAGCAGCAGUUUAGAAAAGUGAAAAAUACUAACCUAAUAAAGGCACAAAUAUCAGUCGAUCUCUAAACACUUCAAUUCGAAAGCAUUUUAUUCCUCCACUUCCUUCACUUUAUUGUUAGCUUUAUACACCCUUUCUCUGUGUCUUUUUGUAUUUUCUUAUUAUAAUUUUUUCUCUUGUAAGGUUAAGAGUACCAUAGUUAAUAUUUGUUACUCUUCUCCUCUUGGUAAAAGGAGCUAUCAUGGUUUACUAUAUGAUUAUUGGUCAAAUUUCAUCCUUUCUGCUCAAGAUUGUGAGUAUUUGUUAGCUCUAACAAGGAGGUAAGGGUAGUGCAAAAGCUUAAGCUUUUUGCUCUUUGUUAUUUCCUUCAAGAAAGCUCUUUUACUCUUACAUUGUUCUACCCAUUUUGAGAUUGAGAGCUUUUGGCUUGAUAAAACCAAUUAAUGGUUUACAAAAUCAGUAUUUAAAGGCCAGAAUUGUGAUUUUGAUAGAUUGGUAAGGCUGAACAAAUAUAAAUAGCAGGUUCCUUUCACACCGUCUCUGGUACUUGUGUCUGUUUGAAUUUGCCUGCACAUAGAUGAACUAUAUCUUCUGUUGUCCAAACAUUGUUAGAUUUGGUGAAACUAUUGAUCUUAUAGAAUUAAUUGAGUUAAAUACUCAGAAAAGGUUCUGAUAGUGUAUUUCGCAUGCUCCGUUAUGCUUUACUCUCUUAAAUUACUUUGUCUUUUUGCUUUUUCCAAAUUGAAUCUGUUGAGAUUCAUGAAGGCUGCUACCAUUUAAAUGUGUCCUCUUUUCUUCCACCUUGACACCUUCACUUUGACAGAUGUUUAUUGUCUUGCUUCUUUGUUUCGGGUGAUUUUUGGUUUUAAAAAAAAUUAAGAAGGCACUGAGCUUCCGCCGAAAAGUAUUUUCAGCUGCCUGCAAGAAUCUGAAAAGGAAUGUACAUUUUGGACUUUAAGAAUCUACUAAUAUGAUGCUACCAUAGAGAUAAAGAAUGUAUAUUUGAUCCAAAAUGUAUAUAAAUAUUAUCCAGCAAUUAGUGUGCCUGUAGUGUUGCUUAUCUAAUUAGAUACUAACUUACAUGCAUCAAUUUUUAUUAUCAGCCCUUUCACACAAAACUAAGUAAUAUUGGGCCCGUACUGGCACGGAGAAUAACCACCUAGUGGUAGAAAUAUUUAUUGGUACAUUUUUCUCAAAGAGGUAAUAAUCUAUAAGCUUCGGCAUACUCCCAGAGCACUUUCACUUCUCUUACUUGAUAGUUAAGUACUUGCACAUUGUGUUUUAUCUCUUAUUGAGUUUGCUUUGAUGUUCAAUCUCGAUUUUAAUUUGGUGCCCCUGCAUAAAUCCAACAUUUAGGAUAUGUGGCUGACUGGUAAGAGGUGAUCCUUACGUGUAAAAGUGUUGCAUGGAGUUUUUAGCAUUCCCUUUUGACUAGUUGGUAGUAGAGCAUAGAUCCAAGCAUGAGCUCCUAUAACGUGUUUAUACCAUGAAAUGGUAGAUUUUCUUUCAACUAUUAGAUGUUGGUUAAACCUUAUAUAAUUUCCUUCUUUUUUUUUGUAUUCGGCAGCUGUAUCUCAAUCUACCACACUACAGAUAUCUCCAGGAAUAGUGGCGGAAAACUCUCCUGGCUCUUAGCCAGAAACUAAAGUCAUUUGUGAGAGAGUUCAAACACAUGGCUUGUCAAGGCUAAAAAAUCUGAGGAAGUAUGCCCAUUCAGUAAAGGUGAAGUAUCAUAUAUCAAUCCAAGUGGGCGUCCGCCGUAAUGCUGAGGUCUGCUUCCAUAGCUCUCAAGUCUCAGCACAAGUAUGUGGUAAAUCAUUGCUCUGACUCACAUGAAAUAGGUCCCUUGAAAUUGGGAUGUUCGACCAGGCCAAUGGAUGAAACUAACCAAAGGUUCAUGGGUGAGAUCUAUGUCACCUUUCGAUCACAAGUUCUUGGAUAUUAGAAUGGCCAGCUCGGCUAAGCAAACUCUUCAGGUCUCGCUGGAUGAAGAAUUUGUUUCUAUCAUGUUAUUUUUCUGGUACUGGGGAUAUUGUUAAUUACUCUGGCAUCCUUCCUUAGCAAGUCUCUAGGAUUUUACUAUGGCAGUGCAAUGGCAGUAGGGUCACUCAUUUUCCUUGUGAUACUUCUUUUCCAGGUUGGAGUGGGAUCUUUCUUUCUGCGCUAUGUGUCACAAUUGUUGCGUUCAAUACUUAACGAGAUUGGUAUUGGUGAAGACAUGUAUAACCCUAUAUUUGCAAAUUCUGCUGUUUUUCCUCGUAAUAGCUGGAGCUUGGUUGGGAAGGGGAGCCUUGGAGCAAUGGUAAAGUUGUCUCCAUGUGACCAGAUCACGGGUUCGAACCGUGGAAGCAUCCACUAAUGCUUGGUAGGCUGUCUACAUCACAUCCCUUAGAGUGCGGCUUUUCCCUAGAUGCUUUGUGCACCGGGCUGCCCUUUUUUUUAGCUGGAACUUGGUUGGGGUUUUGGGUUGUUCACAAAUUUGUACUUGCAGAAGAUGGAUCCAUUGACAUCGGAGUAUCUCAAUAUGUCGGUUGGUCCAUUCGAGUUUUUGCUUUGGGAUUGAUCAUUCAGGUUUCCAUCAUGGCUAGGAAUACUUUUUUUUUCCACCUAUACAUUUGAUCCCCCAAAAUUCUCACACUUUUGGUUGUCUGUAGCGCUUACCGGCUAUGUUACUCGGACUCUCCAAAAGAGCUCCGCACCUGUGUCGGAUCCUCCAAAAAUGCACUAAAAUUGGAGGAUCCGACACGCACCCAACAACACUUUUAGAGUUCGAGUAACAUAGCUUAGCGGAGUUAAUUGGGCAGUUACAUAGCUUUAUUUUUUCUUCAGAGUUCUCUGGAUCUUUUAUUGGUUUUGGAGGCACUGAUAUGUGGAGUUCUGAUUUUGCUAGUCUUGAGGAGAUUAUUCCGUCCCAAAUAUGUUUUGCGCUUUUGCAAGAAUUUAUUACAAAUAGACACGCUUUAUCUCUGGAGAUGUCAGGAUUCUUACACAUCACUGAUAAAGGGUCAUAUGGUUCCAGGACUUCCGAGAGAAAUCGAAAUGACACAAUCGGUCGAGGUUAGACUGAAUUAGUUAUUAGUAGAUGAAGUGAAAGUGCAAGGUGGAGCUUCUCUUACAUUUUUUCCCCCUGCAUGUUCUCCUAUCAAGCCGUCAAGCUUGUUAUCAGAGACAGAUACAUUCGAUUUUACAUUCCACAACACUUCUGAACGAAAGAAACUUUCAAAAGAUGAGUGGAAUAAGUUAGCUAGAGACACCACAAAGAAGGCUAUGGAAGAGCUUGUUUCUUCCCCAGAUUUAAGCAAAUGGGUCGUUGCUCACGCAGAUAGGAUUACUUUGUAUGAGUCCAAAUUUAGAUGACCACGACCAUUGAUGAGUACGACAAACGACGAGAUCCUCGUAGCUCGACAUUUUGCAGGAGACGACAGACGAGCGAACAAGAGGCCGCAUGACUUUUGCAGUAGUGUAGGUUCAUUAGGGAGCAUUAGGAAUAUUCUUUCGAAUAUUCUCUAUGAUUUGUCUUUUAGGGCUUAGAAAGGGUUUGUCCCUUAUAUAUAUAGCGUAAAAUCAACCUUGUAGGGGGCUGGGGACAUUCUUCCAACUAAGAACACUCGUUGUAACACUUGUUUACAUAAACAAUUGAUAUCAUUAUUGUUCGAUCAUUCAUCUUGAUAAGGUCAAGAAGUA